This 22-nucleotide microRNA is filed under the name Murid gammaherpesvirus 4 (Murine herpesvirus 68). RNAcentral describes it as "mghv-miR-M1-13-5p". Its record names the gene mghv-miR-M1-13-5p. The record is from miRBase by way of RNAcentral. Lineage: Duplodnaviria; Heunggongvirae; Peploviricota; Herviviricetes; Herpesvirales; Orthoherpesviridae.
UGGGAAGAGUCUGUUGAGUGGC